Non-coding RNA from Pelobates cultripes (western spadefoot toad), 461 nucleotides. NCBI's taxonomy places the organism in Eukaryota, Metazoa, Chordata, Amphibia, Anura, Pelobatidae. The record is from the annotation of a GenBank genome assembly.
AGCAGUAGUAUUGCUGAAAUCCACAGCAACACAGACAUAGUAGGUAGAUAUACUACAUCAAUUUUGAUAAUCUUUCCUUUAUUGCACGGUCUGUUUAAUUCUUAUCUAUUGCCAUUAUUAGCCUGCGAGAGCCUCCUGUGUGUGAUAAAAGUUAAAGGAACAUUAUAGGGCCUGGAACACAAACCUGUAUUCCUGACUAUAUCGUGUUAAAAACACCAUCUGGCCCCUCCUCACCUCCAGAAAUGUAGUAAAAUCUUACCUUUUACUGCAGUCUGCUGCUGGCUCUGCCACUGAUCUACCUGCUUGGCUGACAUAAUCAGAAGUGGUGAUCUGAGCCAAUCACCAUGCUUUUCCGUAGGAAAGCCUGAGAUUAUCAAGGAGGUAGAUCAGGGACAGAUCCAGCACAAGCCAAACACUGCCCUAGCCAAUCAAUUGAAUGCAGAUCUAUAAGGAAAGUUCAG